GCCCUGGUAGACCAACCGGCAGAGUCGGCGCCCUCAAAAGGCGCGUAGUGUGGGUUCGAAUCCCACCCAGGGCA
Molecule: transfer RNA, 74 nt
Filed under: Spinactinospora alkalitolerans
Lineage: Bacteria; Bacillati; Actinomycetota; Actinomycetes; Streptosporangiales; Nocardiopsidaceae
Description: Marinactinospora sp. CXB654 tRNA
Rfam family: tRNA
About the family: Transfer RNA (tRNA) molecules are approximately 80 nucleotides in length. Their secondary structure includes four short double-helical elements and three loops (D, anti-codon, and T loops).
Source: Rfam by way of RNAcentral